AAGAGUUGAAGUUUGAUCCAAUACUCUGCAAAUGUGGUAUUGAAGCUAAGUAUGGAUUAGUUCCUUUCGAGCUUGGUGUUGGAUAUUUUUGUGGACAUAUGGUCUAUUACGACGAGGUUGGUAUUUAUUUAUUUUUUUGCACCAGCUAUAAUGUUAUACCGGUACUUACUAUUUUUUUGUAGGAGACGAGGAAAUGCAGUUGGGAGAGUUACGACGACAAAGGAGAGGUGAUGCGCACAAUAGAGUCCAAGAGACUAAUGGGACAGAAGAUGCGUUGUGGAUCUCAGCUCGUCGAUUCGUACAUUAAC
This 308-nucleotide long non-coding RNA is filed under the name Zea mays. RNAcentral describes it as "long non-coding RNA (ZMAY_LNC005652)". The record is from RNAcentral. Lineage: Eukaryota; Viridiplantae; Streptophyta; Magnoliopsida; Poales; Poaceae.